UACGGAGGCAGCAGUGAGGAAUAUUGGUCAAUGGGCGAGAGCCUGAACCAGCCAAGUAGCGUGAGGGACGACUGCCCUAUGGGUUGUAAACCUCUUUUGUUUGGGAAUAAAGCGGGCCACGCGUGGCCUUUUGUAUGUACCUUACGAAUAAGCAUCGGCUAACUCCGUGCCAGCAGCCGCGGUAA
Molecule: ribosomal RNA, 185 nt
Filed under: uncultured rumen bacterium
Lineage: Bacteria
Description: partial 16S ribosomal RNA
Rfam family: Bacterial small subunit ribosomal RNA
Source: RNAcentral